Small nuclear RNA from Cebus imitator (Panamanian white-faced capuchin), 107 nucleotides. Lineage: Eukaryota; Metazoa; Chordata; Mammalia; Primates; Cebidae. The record is from Ensembl.
GUGUUCGUUUCAGCAGCACAUAUACUAAAAUUGGAACUAUACAGACAAGAUUAGCAUGGCCCCUGCACAAGGAUGACAUGCAAAUUUGUGAAGUGCUCCUUAUUUUU